Molecule: long non-coding RNA, 4286 nt
Filed under: Marmota monax (woodchuck)
Lineage: Eukaryota; Metazoa; Chordata; Mammalia; Rodentia; Sciuridae
Source: RNAcentral
GCGCGAGUGGUGCGCACGCGUCGUACGCAUGGAGGAGCGCGCGGCUGCGGUGGCGACAACUGCGCACGCCCGGAGGAGGGCGGGGCGGGGCCGUCUACAAAGAGCAAGACUGACAUCACUGCGCGCGUGCCCGGGAGAUUGUGAAGUGUGGAGUGACCCUUGAUGACUCCAACCUGCGUUUGCGCCGGAAGUCCGCGGCCCCUCCCAGAUAAGGGUAUUUACGACGGCUUCCCGGGGCCGGUGGCUUCCGGGGCAAGCGGGACCCCGUGUCUGGCGGGCCCUGCUCUCCCGCGCGGUAGCUAGCGCCAGGCACCCCAAGGGGACCGCUCGGCCCCCUGGGCGCGCUCGGGGGGGACCAGCGCGCUGCCGCUGCCGUCGCCGCCUCCUAGCGGUGGAGGGGCCGCACCCGCCUCGCCUCUGCUGGGACCCUCGGAGUGGGAGGAGGACUGCCUGACGGCUAGGGCCAAGGCCCCGCCGGCCAGCCGCCCCCCUGUCACCCUGCAGGCCACGGAAGGACGCGGCUCGCGGACGCCCCAGGAGGAGGGGCGAAGGCUGGGACCUCGUCGGCAGCGCGGGUCGUCCCGGCAGCCACCGUCAGUGCGGUUGCCCCAGGACUGGCUCUGCGGAGGUCAGCAGUACUCGAGGGGCAGUUUGGUUCCUUGGUGAGAUGAUGCUCCUGCCUAGGGGAGCCCUCUUUUCCCCCAGGAGGCGACUGCCGCCACUUAAGAGGGCAUCCGUCCUCUUAAGCAUGCUGUCGCUUGGGGUGGUUUCAGUCCCUUGUCAAAGAUGGUGACCAACCAGGUCAGUAGUUCCUGGAGUCCACGGUAACUGAAGAAGGAGGUGGCUCAGAAGAGAGAGAAAAGGCAAAUGGAGUUGGUUAGGUCAGUAACUGGACCCUCUACACUCUGGAGAGAUUUGAGCAGUUUGUUAAAGUGCUGAACAUAGACCUCUCCUGUAACCUAGCCAUUCCACACCUGCUCUUUGCCCAACAGGAAAGAGUAUGUGCCCUUAAAAAGAGCUGUGCUAAUGGCCCAAACUGGAAAUGAUCCACAUGUCCAUCAAUAGGUCAGUCAGUAAACCAAUCGUGAUAGAUCCAUGGAAUGAAAUAUCUCCCAGGGAUAAAAAAGCGCAAGUUUGACGUAUCCAACAGCACGAAUAAAUCCCAUGGACAUGCUAAGUGGAAGAUAUCAGUAUAGAAAAUACAAACGAUAUGACAGAAAGUAUAUGACCAGUGGUUGCUGGGGAAUGGAUGGGUCUGGGAGGGAAGGAAGGGUUACAAAGAGACACAGGAAAUUUUGCAGGGGUUUGGAUAUUAUCUUGAUUGAGGUGAUGAUUUCACUUGUAUCUGCAUUGUCAAGUUUGUCAAAUUAGAUGAACUUGUAGUUACUCUUAUGUCAAUCAUAUGUCAAUGUAAAGUUCUUUAAAACUUCCAUUCUUACUUCCUUAGGGGAAAGAUCUCAAGACAAUUCUAAGUGCGAAUCCUUCAAAACUUUCCCCUAGAGAAUGUAUAUCUGUAUGUAAUAGGAAUUACAUGAUACAUGUUGUUAAAUACAUAUACAUAUUGUUCUGCAUCUCCUUUAAAAUUCUUUUAUGUAAAUUUUCAUCAGUGUCAAUAUUUACAGGUAUAGGAUUCUGUAGAAGGAAUGUACCAUAAUUUAAUCCUUUCUCUGCUUCACAACAUUUAAGUUGAAUGCUGCACAUUCACAUUUGGAAUUUUUAAACAUAAUACCAAUAUACUCCAUGCAGGUUGUACUAUUUUAAUUUCUCUAAGCAUCUUUUAAUAUUUUUUUUUAUUUUUACACAAUACCUUUUUAUUUAUUUAUUUUUAAUGUGGUGCUGAGUAACGAACCCAGAACCUCACACAUGCUAGGCAAGCGCUGUACCACUGAGUCACAACCCCAGCCCUCUGAGCAUCUUUUUAUUUGUUAGCCACUUGGAUUUCUGUAAAUUACCUCUUAAUAUCAUUUGCCCAUUUCCCAUUGAGUUAUCUUCCUUUCUUCCUUCCCUUCUUAUUUCUCGUAUAAGAAGGUUUUCAAAAUAUGAGAUAUCUAGGUCUGAGGACAUUUUUGUCCUUUUGAGAAUAAACUACAAUUUUUCAAGUAGAAGGAUACUGGUCUGCCAAUAAGUGAACAAUACUUGAUCAAAUGCCUCCUGUGUGCCAGGCUAUGGGAAGAUGACAGUGGACAGAAAAGAACCUCAUAUAAUCUGGUGAGGACAGUCAUUAAACAACGGUGAUGAAUAGAAUUGAAUGAAUUAAUCUUGUGAUAAUCAGCUUUCUAUUACUGUGACAAAAAUACUUGAGAAAAACAAGGAUUUACUUUGGCUCAUGGUUUCAUAGGUUUUGGUUCAUGAUCACUCCAUGCAUUGUUUCUGGGCCUGUGUUGAGAUAGAACAUCAUAUAGGGAAGGCAUGCUCCCCUCAUGGUAGCCAGAAUCAGAGCGUAAGGGGCAAGAUAUACCCUGUUUCCUCCACGAGGCCCAACCUCCUGAAGUCUCCACUGCUUCCCCAAUAGCACCUCUGUCCAAGCCUCUAAAAGGUGCGCCUUGGGGACAUUCCAGAUCCAAACUGCUGCGACCAAGAAGGUGCAGAGUUCUGAGUCCCCCCCCCCCCAGCCUUCUGACUAGAGACCUAGUGAUGAGUGGCCUUCCUGUGAGCAGAUGGUGUGUCUGCUGAGAGAUACUUGAUGUGUGAACUGGUAGAGAGAUGAAGACUAUCUGUAGCAAGGAAUCAACACGCGCCAAAAAGCCUUCCCAGCGUCAUAUCCUAAAGCCAUGCUUGUUCAAAUGCUGGACAUCAAGGCGGGAGUGUAAAUGAAAAAAUGUUGGAUUUGGCACUGGCCCCCUCAGUGGGCUAUGGAGCCACAAAUGCUGAGAGCAAGGAAGGAGACUGCCUCUUUCUCCCUCACAUUUUUCAGGUCACCCUCAGCAUCACAUGCUGAGGUUGCCUUGGCACUGGACAAGGCACUGUCUCCCUUGCUGUGCCUGCAGUUUGUCUUUCCUAGGUGCCCCAGGGAGUGGGUGGAUCCUCCCACCUGCUGAGUCUCACAUCUGAGGGGUCGGAAGAGCUAAGUGAGCAUUGCCACUCUGCGCCUGCCAAAGUUGGCAUGCGUUUAGCAGGAUCACACUCCCUGCCAUAUGUUCAUGCACACUGGUAAAGGUUUUAUGUGCAUUCUCUUCGUGAUCCUUGAAACACAUUAAAUAGAAACAUCCUUGACUUAAAUCCUCUCAAUUUGGAAUGAAAAUAGAAGUGAGAAUGAGAACUGGUCUUCCUCACCUCCCAGUUCGACCUUGCUCACUUCCCUAGGAUGUCCAGUCCAGGGAAGCUUCCCAGCUCAGCUGUUCCCAUGGGCCAGAAUGUCAAAAGAAAAGCUUUGGGCAAGAAAGCCACAGCCCAAUUCUGGCAGGAAUUUUGGCUAAUAAAACCAAGAUACAUCCUAUUGUGUAAACUGGUGAGUGCUGUAGAAAAUGUCAGCUGUACACCAGCCUUUGAAAAUGGAAUUCAUCUCGGUGACAAUAACUUUGACCUUCGGGUUCAAGGAGCUUCCGACCCACAGCUCAUGACUUGAAACCUUGAGUCAUCUCUUGCCUGUUUCCAGCCUUCCUUUACCACCCUUCCAACGAGCCUUGGCUGUGGGUGGAAUGUGAAUUGUUCCCCUCAACCUCAUGCUGGGGGUUAGUGCCAUUGUGAACUAUUUAGAGAUGAUUAGAGGUAGCACCUUGAGGGAAAGAGUAGGAUCCCAUGGAGUCAUUAGGGUGGAGAACUGAAUGCUGAAUGCUGGUGACCCUAAGAAGGAGACCUGAGAGACACCAAGAUGCAUGCACUACUUGUCUCCCAACUCGUGGUGCCCUGUGCCCUCAGGACCCACCAGGAGACUCACAGAUAUAGCCCCUUCACCCUUGACCAGAACUGUGAACCAAAGCAAACCUCGUUUCUUUAAAACUCACCCAGUCUGUGGCAUUAAUAGCAAAAAAAAAAAAAAAGGACUAACACAUCUGUGUAUUAGACCCUUAGGAUUGCUGUAACAAAGUACCAGAACUGGGUGGCUUGGAACUUAUGAAAAUGUUGGCAGGACCCACACUCCCUUUGAGGCUCUGAAUAGUCUCUUUCUAUUCCUGCUCCUGGCUUCUGGCGACAGCUGCCAUCAUCAGCAUUGCUCAGCUCACAACUGUGUCACUGCAGUCUUCCUCUUUCUCCCUUACAUGAGGUGGAUUAAGAGCCCUCCUAAAUCCUGGAUGACAUCUUAGCUAUUUACAUACGCAAUGACUCCACUUCCAAAUAAGGUCACA